GACGAACGCUGGCGGCGUGCUUAACACAUGCAAGUGGAGCGACGAACCGGGGCUUGCCCCGGGGCAGAGCCGCGAACGGGUGAGUAACACGUGGGUGUAUCUGCCCUGAUGAUCGGGACAACCCGUCGAAAGACGGGCUAAUACCGAAUGUGCCCGCAAGGGGAAAGGAGGCUUCGGCUUCCGCAUCGGGAUGAGCCCGCGGCCCAUUAGCUUGUUGGUGGGGUAAAGCCUACCAAGGCGACGANGGGUAGCUGGUCUGAGAGGACGAUCAGCCACACUGGGACUGAGACACGGCCCAGACUCCUACGGGAGGCAGCAGUGGGGAAUCUUGCGCAAUGCGCGAAAGCGUGACGCAGCAACGCCGCGUGCGGGAAGACGGCCUC
Molecule: ribosomal RNA, 383 nt
Filed under: uncultured bacterium
Lineage: Bacteria
Description: bacterial SSU rRNA
Rfam family: Bacterial small subunit ribosomal RNA
Source: RNAcentral